UAGGGAAUAUUGCGCAAUGGGGGAAACCCUGACGCAGCAACGCCGCGUGAGUGAGGAAGGUCUUCGGAUUGUAAAACUCUUUUAUUAGGGAAAAAUGUCUAGGUGGCUAAUAUCCACUUAGAGUGAUGGUACCUAAGGAAUAAGCACCGGCUAACUUCGUGCCAGCAGCCGCGGUAAUACGAAGGGUGCAAGCGUUGUUCGGAAUCAUUGGGCGUAAAGCGCGCGCAGGCGGGUCAGUAAGUCAGGUGUGAAAUCUCGGAGCUCAACUCCGAAACUGCGCCUGAAACUAUUGGUCUAGAGUAUCGGAGGGGACAGGGGAAUUUCACGUGUAGGGGUAAAAUCCGUAGAGAUGUGAAGGAACACCGGAGGCGAAGGCGCCUGUCUGGACGAUUACUGACGC
Molecule: ribosomal RNA, 400 nt
Filed under: uncultured bacterium
Lineage: Bacteria
Description: bacterial SSU rRNA
Rfam family: Bacterial small subunit ribosomal RNA
Source: RNAcentral